Molecule: long non-coding RNA, 5113 nt
Filed under: Sus scrofa (pig)
Lineage: Eukaryota; Metazoa; Chordata; Mammalia; Artiodactyla; Suidae
Description: lncRNA (ENSSSCG00060034783.1)
Source: RNAcentral
UUUUUUUCAAUAUAACUCCAGCUCAUAUCAGUUUUUACUUUGGUGAUUAGUUGUGAUAGGAAAUAAACAGCACUUUACAGGUAGUGAAUACUUGAUUAAAUACUUCAUGAAUGAAUGAAUCCUCUAAGUAUUCUUUAGAAAAACUACCUAAGUACCAUUUGCCUCCUGCCUGAUAUUAAAAAUGCAUCAUAUUGAAGUUCUCCUCUUUUAAACCUCUGGGAAUGAGCCAGGGCCACUUAGCAGUACAUUUAAAAACCUUUGUAUGCAUCUGACACAAAAUAGUCACCCAACAUUAUUAAUAAUUGUUUGCUUGUUUUAAGUAGCUUUUAAAUAAUUUGAAUUAUGAUAUGCAGAGGCAUUUCCCCUGCUUUCUGUGAUGCCCUUCUGUUCAGUCCUCUGUCAUCUGGAUGUAGAGUUGACUUGUUUAAAGUAGAAAGUAAAGAAAAAUGUAAAAGUGCCCUGGAAUACGUUAACCAUGGAAAUCAGAGAACUUUUCAAAUAGGAAACUGCAAAGCCAAUGUGAUAGGCUAUAAAUUAUUGUUUGACACCUUUCCUGUGUGGCUUACUUUUUUAAAAAGCAAUAUAUUAAUAUUGUAAAAACCUGGAGUCUUGAACUGAACACACACACACACAGACAGAGACAGCUAAAAACUUAACUACUGUUUGCUUUGAACAAUGGGGCAAACAGAGCAUGAAAUUAAGUGUCGGGCACAUUAAAUCUACAGAUUUUAAACUUUUUAUAUGGUCACUUUUCAAUGAGUAAUAGUAACUUGAAAACUAGUUUGACUCUAAAAAGAAUUAUGGAAUAAAAUACAUUUGAUGAGUAGAAAUAAUGUGAUUGAAAGUGUUGCUGGGAGAGAGGCUGGAAUCAUUCUGCUUGGAGUAUGAAAGAUUUUUGGUGCUUCAUAAUCAAUAAUCCCAAAUGACUCUGAAGGGCUCCACUGAUGUAUAAAAGGUACAGAAAAGUAAUGUAAUGGAGGGACAGAGAAUCAGUGGAAAAUUAGUUUGGAAUCCUUUUCCAGGCUUUUCUUUAAAGGAUCAGAAAAAUGUCCUGCACUCAAUUCUCUCUGGUCUGUAUAUCAAAUGUGUAACCCAGGUAUUUUCAUUAUUAAGAUAAUGUGCUUUCAAAUCAAAGAGGUCAAGAAAUGCAGAAGAUACCUUUAAACCUUUAGCUCUUUAUGCACCUGCUCACAAUGCCAAAUGGCUAAAAGAUCAGAAUUAGGCCCCAGGAAAAAAAAAAUGGAAAAUAAUGAGCAUGAAAAGGCAGAGAAUGAAGGUUUUUUUUAACUUAACAACCUGUAUAAAUUCAGGGGGAAAAAAAAACAAAAAUAGAAAAUGAAAAGAGGAGCAUAUUAAAAGGAAUAAACAGGGGAUAGAAAAAGUAAAAACAUGGGAAAUUUUUAAUGAUUUAUGGGAAAUGCUGUUUUAGUUAAGUAAGGAAACUGCAUUUUUGCUGUAUCUUUUAGUGCCAAUAUUCAUUCCUACAGACUCUGGAUGAUGCUUGUUGAGUGGGAGAGUUUUACUUGUUUUGGAUUUGUUAAGCGCUUCCAUAGGAUCCAGGAUUUCAUUUCCACAAACAACCUUCAUGUGCCAAGGGAGCCUUGCUUUGUGAGAUUCUGGAUUUCUAUUUAUGGCCCUGAAUGAUUCUCCCUAGAGAAGGGCUGUCAGGCACACAGACCAGAAAGACAAGACAUAUUAGAAGAAAGACUUAGCAAAUGGAAAUGCUUCUCUUGGCCAAGGUGUGUGUACUGAUUGGGAGCUUGGAUUCAUGUUUAAUUGGGUAUUUGUAGCUAAUCACAGAGAAGGCUCAGAUCUCUCUUGUGAAUAAUAAGUGCCAGCUUCAUGCUUGGAUCUAAGGAAUCAACAGGAUAGGGUCCCAUGUUUCUUAUCUUUCAUGCUGUUUUCUGGAAGAGAAUUAUGGAAUGGCAACCCCCAAAUCCUUUGCAGUUUUGCCUUCCUGUGUAUCUGGGUAAAUUAUGCCAUUGGGAAAUAACAAAUCUGGUUUACUAUGCAGCUGUCAAUGAAUGUUUCUAAAAACAUGUUUUAAUCUGCUUUCCAACUGACCUACACUUCGUUAACAAUUAAUAGUAGAGUAGUGGGAGUAGUAACCGUAGCAGAAGUAGAAGUAAAAAGAAAAUAAUAAUGACAGGCUAUCAUUUAUUAAUUAUUAUUGUCAGAAGUACCAGAGAAUAAAUGACAUGUUUUGAGUUUAUUGUCUAAUCAAAUCAUCAUAGCAAACUUAUGAGAUAAGCAAAUUAUCCUCCUUUCCUUUAUGUUGACGCAGAGGCAUAAAGAAAUUGUCCUCUUCUUGCAAUUAAAUAGCCAGCCUAUGAAUGCAAAUCUAGGUCCCUGGAAUUCCAUUUGAGCAGAGUGGGGCUGAGUACCUGUCCGUGGUGUCAUCCAGCCUCUCUUGUUUAGGUCUCUUGGUCUUUUGAGAUCAUACUUGUGAAUGUAAAGCGUACAAUGAAAGGCUCUUCUGUGUCAGUCAGUGCAUAGUACCCUACACCUUAUGCAAUACUGGGAAUCAAGUAUCCAGUAAAUACAUUUGAAUGAAUGGAUGAAUUAGGACAGAGCUCUCUUUAUUUUCAAAUUCAGAUACACAAGACCCUUCUUGGCUUUGCAGGUUGCCACCUUGCCCCUCUUUGUAGCAUACCAAAGCCUUUCUCUACCAUCAAAAUUGUUCAGGAAAAAACACAAGGACCCUAGUUUCUGAUCCAGCAUGUAAGAAGCUUGCAAGUUAUCAUUCCAUCCUAAUAACAAGUAAAAAGCUGAACGCAUUGAAAGAUCAGUAAUCUCCUUAGAUCCAUAAGAGAAGUGAGGUCACAGGACAAACCACUGCCCCUGAAAUUAGACCAACAGAUGCAGACAGAGAAUCACGUCUACCCAGAGCAUAAACCUCCAUGUGAACCAGUGCUAGGGUGGGGAAACUUGAACUGUAGUUGAUAAGUUGCUGAAGACUCAGUGGUCGCAAGUCUGAGAAAUAAAAAUCUCCAUGGGCGCCCAGUCAUUGGUGGAUACCUUACUUUUGUGAAUCUGACCUCUUGAAGGUCUACCAGGUUCUCACAGUGAAUGUCAGAGACGGAUUCCUUUGUGCAUCUGGCAGAGGAAGAGGAAAGGAACUAUUUUGAAAUGCAAGAGUGCGUUCUGGGAGUUCCCAAAGUGGUGAAGCAGAAAUAAAUAAACUAGUAUCCAUGAGGAUGUGGGUUUAAUCCCUGGCCUCACUCAGUAGGUCAAGGAUCCAGUGUUGCCGUGAGCUGUGGUGUAGGUGGCAGAUGCAGCUAGGAUCCCACGUUGCUGCGGCUAUGGUGCAACGUGGGAUCCUAGCAGCCAAAGCUCCGAUUUGACCCCUAGCCUGAAAACUUCCAUAGGCCAAGAGUGCAGUCCUAGAAAAGCAAACAAUAAGGCGGGGGGGAGCAUGCAUUCUGUUCUUCUUAACGAGUUUUUCUCUCAGGAGAAAUUACUAAUAGGAGCCUAUUCUGCUAUGGUAUUUUCAGAGCCUAAUGGUCUUGGAGGAAGGGAAAUAUCAACUCUAGUCCCCAUUAGCCUUCUAUGUGGGAGGAGGGAACUCCCCAUCUCCAGACCACUCCGACAAUCCUGCUGUACCUAAGGUGGGGCUGGGGACUGAGAGGCAUGUGUGAAGUUCACAGUUCAGAGGCACAGGCUCACUAAAAGACUGACCCCUAAUCACAGGACUAUAGAAUGCCCCCACCAUACCUUACCACCCACAUUGCUAAAGACUUACUUAUAGUAGUUACUUUUCUCCAGUACUUCUUUUCUGACUAACAAGACAUACUACAAGGCAAAUACAAUUUGAAGAGAUUGGAAAAGCAUAAAUAAACAGAUUCAAGUAUGGUGGGGAUGUUGGAAUUAUCAAACCAAGAACUUAAAACAAUUAUGAUUGAUAGGCUAAGAGCUUUAAUGCAUAAAGUACACAUCAUGCAGUAACAGAUGGGCAAUGUUAAGUAAAUGAGAAUUCUAACAAGGAACCAAAAGAACAUGUUAGAGAUCAAAAACACUAAAAGAAAUGAAGAAUGCUUUUUUUUAUUAAUUUAUUUAUUUUUCCCCUGUACAGCAUGGGGGCCAAGAUAUACUUACAUGCAUACAUUUUUUUUCCUACCCUUUGUUCUGUUACAAUAUAAGUAUCUAGACAUAGUUCUCAAUGCUACUCAGCAGGACCUCUUUGUAAAUCCAUUCCAAGUUGUAUCCAAUAACCCCAAGCUCCCAACACCUCUCACUCCCUCCCUCUCCCCUCGGGCGGCCACAAGUCUGUUCUCCAAGUCCAUGAUUUUCUUUUCUGUGGAGAUGUUCAUUUGUGCUGGAUAUUAGAUUCCAGUUAUAAGUGAUAUCAUAUGGUAUUUGUCUUUGUCUUUCUGACUUAUUUCACUCAGUAUGAGAGUCUCUAGUUCCAUCCAUGUUGCUAUAAAUGGUAUUCUAUCGUUCUUUUUUAUGGCUGAGUAGUAUUCCAUUGUGUAUAUAUACCACAUCUUCCUAAUCCAAUAGUCUGUCUGUAGACAUUUAGGUUGUUUCCAUGUCUUGGCUAUUGUGAAUAGUGCUGCAAUGAACAUGCAGGUGCAUUUGUCUCUUUAAAGUAGAGUUUUGUCUGGAUAUAUGCCCAAGAGUGGGAUUGUGGGAUCAUAUGGUAGUUCUAUGUAUAGAUGUCUAAGGUAUCUCUAGACUGUUCUCCACAGUGGCUGUACCAGCUUACCUUCCCACCAACAGUGCAGGAGGGUUGAAGAAUGCUUUUGAUGGGCUUAGCUGAGGAAAUAAUCUCUGUGCUUGAAAAUAUCUCAAUAGAAAUGUCCAAAACUGAAAAAUAGAUAGAAAAAAAGAACCCAGACUAGAUUACCUAAGAACUAUAGAACAAUUACAAAAGGUAUAGCGUAUAUGUAAUAACAAAAGGAGAAGAAAGAAAGGAAGAAAAUAAAUAUUUGCAAAAAAUAAUAACUUGAGAUUUUCCUCAGUUUAAUGUCAGAUACCAAACUACAGAUCCAGGAAGUUCAGACAACCCUAAGCAGGAUAAACACUGAAAAAAACCUAAGCCUGUGUAUAUCAUGUACAAACUGCUGAAAAUCAAAGAUAAACAAAUUCUUAAAGGAGCCAAAGGAAAAAAAAA